Molecule: long non-coding RNA, 1945 nt
Organism: Odontomachus brunneus
Lineage: Eukaryota; Metazoa; Arthropoda; Insecta; Hymenoptera; Formicidae
Exons: 3
Source: RefSeq, a predicted model, not a curated record
AAUAUGUCAAAUUUACAUAAAAUUUGCUUCAAAAUAGUGUUAAAUAGUGUAUUAAAUUUUUGUAUUAAUUUUUUACACAAUAUUUCUAUUUUUCUUUUUUUUUUACAUACCCGCCUUGUGUUAAAUUAACACGAAAAUCGUGAGUGGAGUUUCUGAGACAUGUGAAAUGUCUUAAACUUAACAUAAAAAUUUUUCACCGCGUUUUUUUACGUAUUAAACUUCUCUGCCUUGAAUUAAUUAGUAAAACGAAGAGAUACGAUCAAAUUUAUCGGAGUCGACCGAUGAAGCUGCAGGGACAUUAAGCUGACAUUAAGCCAACAGAACGUAUUAAUUGCACUCGAGACAAUUACGGAAUCACGUGUAAUUAAGCACGAUACAGAUGCGUGCCAGGACAGCGUCGCGUUUCACCACUAUCGUCAUUAAUCACCGAAGGUCCGUGAAGGAUUCGCAGGUGUGGUUGCGCAAGUGAAAGAGAGCUUCGACGUGAGUGGCCGUGAGCGCGCAAUAAGGAGGUGGCUCUCCGCGAAAUCCGCUCACGGCGGGUCGCGGCUUUUAUCGGUCUCGGCUCGAUAAUGAUUUUUUAAUGACGUCCGGGAAGCUUCGUUCUGCCGCGCGUUCCCACGCGCACCGCCGUUACGCUACUUUUUCGUCGCAUGUUAACUAUCGAUACUGUUCCGCGAGCACGCAGUCGAAAGCAACAAUUCAGAACGAGCCAGUACUUUGUGUUCCGCACGGAGAAAACGCCAAGGAUAUCGCACUUCUCUGCCAGUUCAGUAAGGCGAUGGAGUCGUGAAGUCUUGAAUACAAUUUGCGGGGCCGAGGGAACGCUUCCCUUUCUAUACAUGCCAUUCCUUUUCAGUCGUUAUUAUUCGAUUGAGCGUCAAUGAAAGAACGCAGCUUGAGAGACGAUAUAUAGACAUCAACAAACAAAUAACAAUGAGACGGUAUCAACGGCACAAAAACACGUUAAUUGUUCGCGAUUUCUUUCUGUUUCUCCACGUGCGGACGAAGAAGAUCGCGGGACGUCUUUGUGCGCGCUUCUUUGUCCGUUUUCUUGGAAAGAAAUUAAACUUUUGCAGCUCGUAUUGGCGCUACCGAGUCGUUUCGCACUUCUUAGACCGCAUUAAACGAGACUCGGAAGGGUGAAAGUCCGGACGGCGCCUGCUGGACUGAGAGGCACCCUCGUAAUCUGGCAAUCACCUUUCGGUUAGUUCGACCGACCCUUUCGCGCCCUCUUCGGACCUCUCUUCCAUUUAAAAGCCCUGUCACCGGUGCCGCCGGCGAGCAAAAUGAAAGGCGAAACCCCACGCUGACGCGUUGACAUGAUCAGUCCUUGAGUAUUAAUUUGCAUGUUAAUCGAAAACUUAUUUUUAAUUAUCUGUAUUAGAAAGGGUAAGAGUGCCUUCCGCUGGAGAUUACCGCUUAUUGCAAUUAAGCGAGUCAACUCUAGUUUAGCGACCUAAGAAAUUCAGUUCUUGAUAUAUAUAGUGAUUGUUAAAUAUUGAAUUAUAUUGCACAUAGUCAUAAAAUGUUAAUAGUUGAAGAUAACCAUCACUUAAAAGAAAUAAAGUAAAUUGAGUAAUCGUUUUUCUCAGUAGUGGAAUAUUUUUUUAUGUAGAUAUUUAUAAAAAUAAGUAUAUGUUAAGAAAAUACUGAGUCUCUUAACGAACCAAUUUGUUUAACUAAACUGUAAAAAAUGAAUAUGUCAAUAAAAGGUUAAGUGUAUUCUUACAAAUUUUAUGGCUCACCUAAUAAUGAUAUUUAGAUUGAUGAAGCAACGUCAAAAUAUUCAUCGUGAGGUAAAUAAUUCCCCAUCCUCUCUUCCUUCCUGAAAUUUUAUUGAAACAUACCGCGAGCACAACCGCUAUGAAUCUUAUAAAGAUCCGCGGACCUCGUAAAUAUAAACAUUCAUGGUAUCCUUCGACGGAGGGAGAGCGACAGAGAA